GGAAAACUUACCAGGACAAGACAUAAGAAGGAUUGACAGAUUGAUCGCUCUUUCUUGAUUUUAUGGGUGGUGGUGCAUGGCCGUUCUUAGUUCGUGGAGUAAUUUGUCUGGUUAAUUCCGUUAACGAACGAGACCUCAACUAACUAAUUGGUGAAGGUAACUUGAAUGCUUUCCGUGUUAGAAGGACCAUGUGUGUUUAACACAAGGAAGCGUGAGGCAAUAA
This 223-nucleotide ribosomal RNA is filed under the name uncultured eukaryote. Its description in RNAcentral is "partial 18S ribosomal RNA". It matches the Rfam family "Eukaryotic small subunit ribosomal RNA", at positions 1208 to 1456 of the family's 1831-position model. The record is from RNAcentral.